GAUGAACGCUAGCGGCAGGCUUAACACAUGCAAGUCGAGGGGUAGGAGAAGCUUGCUUUUCUGAGACCGGCGCACGGGUGCGUAACGCGUAUGCAAUCUACCUUUCACAGAGGGAUAGCCCAGAGAAAUUUGGAUUAAUACCUCAUAGUAAUACGCCUUGGCAUCAAGAUGUAUUUAAAGAUUUAUCGGUGAAAGAUGAGCAUGCGUCCCAUUAGCUAGUUGGUAUGGUAACGGCAUACCAAGGCAACGAUGGGUAGGGGUCCUGAGAGGGAGAUCCCCCACACUGGUACUGAGACACGGACCAGACUCCUACGGGAGGCAGCAAUGAGGAAUAUUGGACAAUGGGCGCAAGCCUGAUCCAGCCAUGCCGCGUGCAGGAUGACGGUCCUAUGGAUUGUAAACUGCUUUUAUACAGGAAGAAACACCUCUACGUGUAGAGACUUGACGGUACUGUAAGAAUAAGGAUCGGCUAACUCCGUGCCAGCAGCCGCGGUAAUACGGAGGAUCCAAGCGUUAUCCGGAAUCAUUGGGUUUAAAGGGUCCGUAGGCGGUCAGAUAAGUCAGUGGUGAAAGCCCAUCGCUCAACGGUGGAACGGCCAUUGAUACUGUCUGACUUGAAUUAUUAGGAAGUAACUAGAAUAUGUAGUGUAGCGGUGAAAUGCUUAGAGAUUACAUGGAAUACCAAUUGCGAAGGCAGGUUACUACUAAUAUAUUGACGCUGAUGGACGAAAGCGUGGGUAGCGAACAGGAUUAGAUACCCUGGUAGUCCACGCCGUAAACGAUGGAUACUAGCUGUUGGGAGCAAUCUCAGUGGCUAAGCGAAAGUGAUAAGUAUCCCACCUGGGGAGUACGAACGCAAGUUUGAAACUCAAAGGAAUUGACGGGGGCCCGCACAAGCGGUGGAGCAUGUGGUUUAAUUCGAUGAUACGCGAGGAACCUUACCAAGGCUUAAAUGUAGUUUGACCGGUU
Molecule: ribosomal RNA, 969 nt
Filed under: uncultured bacterium
Lineage: Bacteria
Description: bacterial SSU rRNA
Rfam family: Bacterial small subunit ribosomal RNA
Source: RNAcentral